AUAAUGCAGUCGAGCGGACGGACCGGAGGUUUCUCCCCCAUGUGCGCGGGGUCCGGGGGUUAAACACGUGGGUAACCUGCCUGUAAGACUGGGAUAUCUCCGGGAAACCGGAGCUCUUACCGGAUAGUUCCUUGAACCUAACGGGUCAAGGAUGAAAGACGGUUUCGGCUGUCACUUACAGAUGGACCCCCGGCGCAUUAGCUAGUUGGUGGGGUAAUGGCUCACCCAGGCGACGAUGCGUAGCCCACCUGAGAGGGUGAUCGGCCCCCCUGGGACUGAAACACGGCCCAGACUCCUUCGGGAGGGAGCAGUAGGGAAUCUUCCGCAAUGGACCAAAGUCUUACGGAACAACCCCCCGUGAGUGAUGAAGGGUUUCCGAUCCUAAAGCCUUGUUGUUUGGGGAGAACAAGAUGGAGAGUAACUGCUCGCACCUUGACGGGACCUAACCCGAAAGGCCCCGGUAACUUAGUGGCAGCAGCCGCGGUAAUUCGUAGGGGGGAAGCGUUUUUCGGGAUUAUUGGGCGUAAAGGGCUCGCAAGCCGUUUUCUUUAAGUCUGGAUGUGAAAGCCCCCCGGCCUCAACCGGUGGAGGGGUCAUUGGAAAACUGGGAAAACUUUGAGGUGCAGAAGGAGGAGAAGUGGAAAUUUCCACUGUGUAGCGGUGAAAAGGCGUAAGAGCUGUGGAGGAACCACAGUGCGGAAGGCACGUUCUGGAUCUGUAACUGAACGCUGAUGAGCGAAAGCUCGGGGAUCAACAGGAUAGGAUCCUUGUAGUCCACGCCGUAACGAUGAGUGCGUAGUGUUACGGGGUUUCCGCCCCUUAUAGAGUGCGACUGCCG
This 838-nucleotide ribosomal RNA is filed under the name uncultured bacterium. Its description in RNAcentral is "bacterial SSU rRNA". It matches the Rfam family "Bacterial small subunit ribosomal RNA", at positions 51 to 860 of the family's 1533-position model. The record is from RNAcentral.